RNAcentral lists this long non-coding RNA (508 nucleotides) under Homo sapiens (human). RNAcentral's name for it is "non-protein coding lnc-RIOK1-1:3". The record is from RNAcentral. Lineage: Eukaryota; Metazoa; Chordata; Mammalia; Primates; Hominidae.
UUAUGUUUCCGUAGUGUGGGAGCUUUGUUCUUUCACUGUUUGCGGAUAUCUCUCUGUCGGCUAGGCUGGAGUGUAGUGGUGUGAUCAUCAUGGCUCACUGUGGCCUCAAACUCCUACUAUGGACAGGAGACAGGGAAAUACUGGGUAGAAGAGGACAGUUCCCCAGCAAAGGCCCCACCCUCAAGCCUGGAUACCCAUGGCCCUAAAUGGGAACAGGCAUUUCUGUUUUUGCACCCCAAAAGUUGACUUUUGGCCCACAUGCUCCCUAUCCUGUACCCAUAUAAACCCCAAAUUCCAGGCUCCAGAGAGAGACAAGGAGAUGAGGAGACAAGCAGACGAACAGCGGAACAAUGCAGCAGAGAAAGAGAGAAGAGAAGGAACGUCUGAACGUCGAGAGGAGUUCGGCUGCUGGACGGCCAAACUCCAGGGGAAGAUCAUCUUCCCACUCCAUUCCCCCUCCAGCUCCCCAUCCAUCCCACUGAGAGCCACUUCCACCACUCAAUAAAAG